RNAcentral lists this ribosomal RNA (465 nucleotides) under Vreelandella stevensii. RNAcentral's name for it is "partial 16S ribosomal RNA". It matches the Rfam family "Bacterial small subunit ribosomal RNA", at positions 338 to 795 of the family's 1533-position model. The record is from RNAcentral. Lineage: Bacteria; Pseudomonadati; Pseudomonadota; Gammaproteobacteria; Oceanospirillales; Halomonadaceae.
CCUACGGGAGGCAGCAGUGGGGAAUAUUGGACAAUGGGGGGAACCCUGAUCCAGCCAUGCCGCGUGUGUGAAGAAGGCCCUCGGGUUGUAAAGCACUUUCAGUGAGGAAGAACGCCUGGUGGUUAAUACCCAUCAGGAAAGACAUCACUCACAGAAGAAGCACCGGCUAACUCCGUGCCAGCAGCCGCGGUAAUACGGAGGGUGCGAGCGUUAAUCGGAAUUACUGGGCGUAAAGCGCGCGUAGGUGGCUUGAUAAGCCGGUUGUGAAAGCCCCGGGCUCAACCUGGGAACGGCAUCCGGAACUGUCAAGCUAGAGUGCAGGAGAGGAAGGUAGAAGUCCCGGUGUAGCGGUGAAAUGCGUAGAGAUCGGGAGGAAUACCAGUGGCGAAGGCGGCCUUCUGGACUGACACUGACACUGAGGUGCGAAAGCGUGGGUAGCAAACAGGAUUAGAUACCCGAGUAGUC